Molecule: ribosomal RNA, 468 nt
Filed under: uncultured bacterium
Lineage: Bacteria
Description: partial 16S ribosomal RNA
Rfam family: Bacterial small subunit ribosomal RNA
Source: RNAcentral
GACGAACGCUGGCGGCGUGCUUAACACAUGCAAGUCGAACGGAAAGGCCCUGCUUUUGUGGGGUGCUCGAGUGGCGAACGGGUGAGUAACACGUGAGUAACCGGCCCUUGACUUUGGGAUAACUUCAGGAAACUGGGGCUAAUACCGGAUAGGAGCUCCUGCUGCAUGGUGGGGGUUGGAAAGUUUCGGCGGUUGGGGAUGGACUCGCGGCUUAUCAGCUUGUUGGUGGGGUAGUGGCUUACCAAGGCUUUGACGGGUAGCCGGCCUGAGAGGGUGACCGGCCACCUUGGGCCUGCGAUACGGCCCAGACUCCUACGGGAGGCAGCAGUGGGGAAUAUUGCACAAUGGGCGGAAGCCUGAUGCAGCAACGCCGCGUGCGGGAUGACGGCCUUCGGGUUGUAAACCGCUUUCGCCUGUGACGCAGCGUGAGUGACGGUAAUGGGUAAAGAAGCACCGGCUAACUACGUG